This 116-nucleotide ribosomal RNA is filed under the name Anolis carolinensis (green anole). Lineage: Eukaryota; Metazoa; Chordata; Lepidosauria; Squamata; Anolidae. The record is from RNAcentral.
UAAGACAUCUAUUCCCUAAAUGCACCAGAUCCCAUCUAAUCUUGGAAUCUAAGCAGGGUUAGUCCUGGUUAGUAUUUGGAUGGGAGACUGCCAAUGAAUACCAGGUGCUGUGGGCU